UACGGAGGGUGCAAGCGUUAUCCGGAUUCACUGGGGUUAAAGGGUGCGUAGGUGGGCAGGUAAGUCCGUGGUGAAAUCUCCGGGCUUAACUCGGAAACUGCCGUUGAUACUAUCUGUCUUGAAUAUCGUGGAGGUUAGCGGAAUAUGUCAUGUAGCGGUGAAAUGCUUAGAUAUGACAUAGAACACCCAUUGCGAAGGCAGCUAACUACACGAUCAUUGACACUGAGGCACGAAAGCGUGGGGAGCAAACAGG
RNAcentral lists this ribosomal RNA (253 nucleotides) under uncultured bacterium. Its description in RNAcentral is "partial 16S ribosomal RNA". It matches the Rfam family "Bacterial small subunit ribosomal RNA", at positions 524 to 776 of the family's 1533-position model. The record is from RNAcentral.